ACGAACGCUGGCGGCGUGCCUAAUACAUGCAAGUAGAACGCACAGUUUAUACCGUAGCUUGCUACACCAUAGACUGUGAGUUGCGAACGGGUGAGUAACGCGUAGGUAACCUGCCUGGUAGCGGGGGAUAACUAUUGGAAACGAUAGCUAAUACCGCAUAAUAUUAAUUAUUGCAUGAUAAUUAAUUGAAAGGUGCAAUUGCACCACUACCAGAUGGACCUGCGUUGUAUUAGCUAGUAGGUGAGGUAACGGCUCACCUAGGCGACGAUACAUAGCCGACCUGAGAGGGUGAUCGGCCACACUGGGACUGAGACACGGCCCAGACUCCUACGGGAGGCAGCAGUAGGGAAUCUUCGGCAAUGGACGAAAGUCUGACCGAGCAACGCCGCGUGAGUGAAGAAGGUUUUCGGAUCGUAAAGCUCGGUUGUAAGAGAAGAACGGGUGUGAGAGUGGAAAGUUCACACUGUGACGGUAUCUUACCAGAAAGGGACGGCUAACUACGUG
RNAcentral lists this ribosomal RNA (504 nucleotides) under uncultured bacterium. RNAcentral's name for it is "partial 16S ribosomal RNA". It matches the Rfam family "Bacterial small subunit ribosomal RNA", at positions 29 to 507 of the family's 1533-position model. The record is from RNAcentral.